Molecule: long non-coding RNA, 209 nt
Organism: Thalassophryne amazonica
Lineage: Eukaryota; Metazoa; Chordata; Actinopteri; Batrachoidiformes; Batrachoididae
Exons: 3
Source: RefSeq, a predicted model, not a curated record
AAAAGGCAAAUAGCAGCCCACCUGGAGUUUGCCAAAAGACAACUGAAGGACUCUCUGACCAUGAGAAACAAAAUUCUUUGGUCUAAUGAGACAAAGAUUGAACUCUUUGGUGUGAAUGUCAGGUAUCAUGUUUGAAAGAAACCAGGCGCUAUCCCUACAGUGAAGCAUGGUGGUGGCAGCAUCAUGCUCUGAAGAUGCAACAGGAACUG